Molecule: ribosomal RNA, 464 nt
Filed under: uncultured bacterium
Lineage: Bacteria
Description: partial 16S ribosomal RNA
Rfam family: Bacterial small subunit ribosomal RNA
Source: RNAcentral
CUACGGGGGGCACCAGUGGGGAAUAUUGCACAAUGGGCGCAAGCCUGAUGCAGCCAUGCCGCGUGUAUGAAGAAGGCCUUCGGGUUGUAAAGUACUUUCAGCGGGGAGGAAGGGAGUAAAGUUAAUACCUUUGCUCAUUGACGUUACCCGCAGAAGAAGCACCGGCUAACUCCGUGCCAGCAGCCGCGGUAAUACAGAGGGUGCAAGCGGUAAUCGGAAUUACUGGGCGUAAAGCGCACGCAGGCGGUUUGUUAAGUCAGAUGUGAAAUCCCCGGGCUCAACCUGGGAACUGCAUCUGAUACUGGCAAGCUUGAGUCUCGUAGAGGGGGGUAGAAUUCCAGGUGUAGCGGUGAGAUGCGUAGAGAUCUGGAGGAAUACCGGUGGCGAAGGCGGCCCCCUGGACGAAGACUGACGCUCAGGUGCGAAAGCGUGGGGAGCAAACAGGAUUAGAUACCCCUGUAGUC